UUGUGGGAAUGGGCUGAUUGGGAAGCAAUGAAAACUCAAGCAAUUGUGUCUACAUUUUCUUCCCAAUUCCGCCCAUUCCUAUGA
RNAcentral lists this microRNA precursor (84 nucleotides) under Phaseolus vulgaris (common bean). Its description in RNAcentral is "miR482 stem-loop (pvu-MIR482)". Its record names the gene pvu-MIR482. The record is from miRBase by way of RNAcentral. Lineage: Eukaryota; Viridiplantae; Streptophyta; Magnoliopsida; Fabales; Fabaceae.